RNAcentral lists this ribosomal RNA (649 nucleotides) under Suberites massa. RNAcentral's name for it is "eukaryotic LSU rRNA". It matches the Rfam family "Eukaryotic large subunit ribosomal RNA", at positions 659 to 1290 of the family's 3401-position model. Lineage: Eukaryota; Metazoa; Porifera; Demospongiae; Suberitida; Suberitidae. The record is from RNAcentral.
ACACGGACCAAGGAGUGCAACAUGCGUGCGAGUCUUUGGGUGUCAAACCCUGUGGCACAAUGAAAGUGAAGGCAGGCAUUGGUCUGCUUAGGCGAGAGUCUCUUUGGAGACACAUCGUCGACCGAUCCCAGGUCACGCUGUGGCGGGAUUUGAGUGAGAGCGUGCCUGUUGCGACCCGAAAGAUGGUGAACUAUGCCUGAAUAGGGUGAAGCCAGAGGAAACUCUGGUGGAAGCUCGUAGCGAUUCUGACGUGCAAAUCGAUCGUCAAAUUUGGGUAUAGGGGCGAAAGACUAAUCGAACCAUCUAGUAGCUGGUUCCCUCCGAAGUUUCCCUCAGGAUAGCUGGAGCCCGGUGCAGUUUUAUCAGGUAAAGCGAAUGAUUAGAGGUCUUGGGGUUGAAACAACCUCAACCUAUUCUCAAACUUUAAAUGGGUAAGAGGCUUGGCUUGCUUAAUUGAAGUCAGGCAUUGAAUGCCGGGGCUCUUAGUGGGCCAUUUUUGGUAAGCAGAACUGGCGAUGUGGGAUGAACCAAAUGCUGGGUUAAGGUGCCUGAAUCAACGCUCAUCAGAUACCAUAAAAGGUGUUGGUUGAUCUAGACAGCAGGACGGUGGCCAUGGAAGUCGGAAUCCGCUAAGGAGUGUGUAACAACU